UCGAGGGUAACAGGGUGCUUGCACUGCUGACGACCGGCGCACGGGUGCGUAAACGCGUAUAGAACCUUACCUUUUACGAGGGAAUAGCCCAGAGAAAUUUGGAUUAAUGCCCCAUAGUAUUAUAGAAUGGCAUCAUUUAUAAUUAAACAUUUAUGGGUAAAAGAUGGCUAUGCGUUCUAUUGGCUAGAUGGUAAGGUAACGGCUUACCAUGGCAACGAUAGAUAGGGGUCCCUGAGAGGGAGAUCCCCCACACUGGUACUGAGACAGGGACCAGACUCC
Molecule: ribosomal RNA, 279 nt
Filed under: unidentified marine bacterioplankton
Lineage: Bacteria
Description: partial 16S ribosomal RNA
Rfam family: Bacterial small subunit ribosomal RNA
Source: RNAcentral